Long non-coding RNA from Apis dorsata (giant honeybee), 973 nucleotides. RefSeq lists it as uncharacterized. NCBI's taxonomy places the organism in Eukaryota, Metazoa, Arthropoda, Insecta, Hymenoptera, Apidae. The transcript has 3 exons. The record is from RefSeq and is a predicted model, not a curated record.
CGAUGGCAAAGCUGGAGGUAAUGGACGACCUUUCGAGGGCGCGACGCUCCGCCCCCACCGGAUAAUUCGAGAAACAAUGGCAGCCGGAGACAUGCAGAGGCACGGCGGCACGGUUUCAGUGCAAACACGAAGAUUGACAGCGAAUACUAGAUUCGAAUGUCGCUGCAUGUUGCCAUGACGAAAACGGAACAGUGUAGGUUAAAGAGGCGAAGGGAAAGGCAGGUCAAAGCAGCGACGCACUGGCCAGGUGCGCAGACAUUCCACUCGCCUUGCGGUACGCUCACCCCUCUUUCCCCGGCCGCGAUUAUUUUCUACCUGGAGCGCCACGUUUAUUUCUUCAUGGCGGAUCGAACGAUAUAUUCGAUACAUCGAACCGAUCCGAAACGAUAUUGUGUGUAUGAAUGAAUUCUCCACGAAGAAGGUAAACAUUCGAAGUAGAAUGUUCGUCCCUUUUGAUCAGGAAUAUAUAUGGUUGGCAGAUUCGAAGAGGUAUAAGGAUGGUGAUCGAAAGAAACAAAAAUGGCGGCUACUUGGCGCAUUUCUGAGUUAUAAGGAGCCUCUAUAAAUGAUCACAGUUUACAUUGAAUCGAAGGAGAAUGAAGGAAACCUAACAAGCAACAGGUUGGCACGAUCUCCGUAAGGGGUGGGGAAAUGAGAGAAUAAGAAGAGCUAUGUAAGUACUUAUAGACAGAGAAGCAGAAAACGGGAAAGCAAUCAUCGUUGGAUUUGGUAGGAAUAUCCGUAGAAACGAAAUGCUUAGCACUACGUAAGAACAACGAUAUCGUGACAAGGAGACCGGAUUGGUCGGUCACCUGUUGCCCGCUAGCUGUGAUUGGUCGGGCUCGACAGCGCGUAACGACAGCCAGAGGAAGACAAGUGCAUUGUCGGUUGGUUUAUGAUGGACCAAGAUCAAAAAUAAAUACUACGAGAAUGUUAAUUUCAUAUUUUUGUUAUAUAUAUUUACAUACAUAUA